Molecule: long non-coding RNA, 1220 nt
Organism: Cheilinus undulatus (humphead wrasse)
Lineage: Eukaryota; Metazoa; Chordata; Actinopteri; Labriformes; Labridae
Exons: 3
Source: RefSeq, a predicted model, not a curated record
UUACUCCAUUAUUUUGAAUUUCAGCAUUGGGCUUGGUUUUGGGAUAGUUUUUACUGGCCAUGAGGCUUGUUUUGUUUAUGUCUGCAUUCAGUCUGAAGUGCACAUUUGAGGAACUGUAUUUUGCACAUUUGCACAUGGCUUGAGUUUUUAACCAUUGGAGUUGCUGCUUCUUAAUGAGAGAAGCACACUUGUCUCAUAUCUGUCCUCUAAAUGUGAAGCUUAAGUAGUAGUAGCAAGGCAACAAACAAAUGUUUUUAGCAAAAAGAUCUUAUCUUUGCUCAAACAAAUUUAUUACCUCUGAGCAUAUCCUCGCUAGCGUUUCCCCCUCUUCUACGUAUUUGCGCCAAGCUAAGCUAAGCUCACUAGCUAGUUCUUAACCAAAUCAUAGUUUGUUUGUACAUUUAAUAACAGUUUUAAGAGGCCAGCCAGAAAAAUAGCAUUAGUGUGAAUACCAAUAACAGAACGUCAACCCUGAAGCAUCAUGGAGCCACUUUGAAACUCUUUGCUAGCGAAACUGCUGCUACAAGACUGCUACAAAAGGAUUUCUGGGUCAAGAAUCGCCACGAGUAUCCAGCCUGGAAAAAUCCUUCCUGUUCAGAGCUGUCAGUCAGGUGUGGUGCGUCCUCCUGUGUCCGCUUGCAUGGAGGCGUCCAGAUGUAUCUGUUUAUUCCACCCGACCUGGGUCAGGCUUGGAACGCCUUGGAAUCCCACAUGGGUGAGGGAUGUAUCUGCUGACUUGCUUAGCCUGCUACCACCUUGACGCAACCCCAGAUAAGUGGAAGAAAAUGGGUGGAGGGAUUUGUGCUCUACACUUUGGUCCUCCCCUUUGAAAAUGUGACGUAGUUGUUCAGAGACAGGAACUGUUAUUUGUCCUACAUCUGUGGUUCUCAACUGGUUGAGCCUCAGGACCCAACAUCAGCUCCUCAAUGAGAAAUUGUGACCUAAGUUCCAGGUAUUUUUCAGCCAGUCUGAUUAUUUAAUAAAAAAGCACAGUCUGGACCUUAAUCAGUACAAAUGAUGUAACAGAUAAAACAAAAAGGAAAGAACAAGGAUGUUUUAACACUCUGGGACCUAUGCUUUUUUUAAAUCAUUUUGUCUUCUCUGGACUUUUUGUCAUCAAAAACUUGUAAAACAUACAUUCUGUGAUGCACAUUUAAUCUCUUAACAUCCCUUAAUUGAGGACAACUUGGGCUUUAAGAAUAUGUAUGCCACUGUGAUGU